RNAcentral lists this ribosomal RNA (468 nucleotides) under uncultured bacterium. Its description in RNAcentral is "partial 16S ribosomal RNA". It matches the Rfam family "Bacterial small subunit ribosomal RNA", at positions 28 to 507 of the family's 1533-position model. The record is from RNAcentral.
GACGAACGCUGGCGGCGUGCUUAACACAUGCAAGUCGAACGGAAAGGCCCUGCUUUUGUGGGGUGCUCGAGUGGCGAACGGGUGAGUAACACGUGAGUAACCUGCCCUUGACUUUGGGAUAACUUCAGGAAACUGGGGCUAAUACCGGAUAGGAGCUCCUGCUGCAUGGUGGGGGUUGGAAAGUUUCGGCGGUUGGGGAUGGACUCGCGGCUUAUCAGUUUGUUGGUGGGGUAGUGGCUUACCAAGGCUUUGACGGGUAGCCGGCCUGAGAGGGUGGACGGCCACAUUGGGACUGAGACACGGCCCAGAGUCCUACGGGAGGCAGCAGUGGGGAAUAUUGCACAAUGGGAGGAAGCCUGAUGCAGCGACGCCGCGUGCGGGAUGACGGCCUUCGGGUUGUAAAAAGCUUUCGCCUUAGACGAAGCUUUUGUGACGGUAGUGGGAGAAGAAGCACCGGCUAACUACGUG